UACGUAGGUGGCAAACGUUGUCCGGAUUUACUGGGCGUAAAGCGCGCGCAGGCGGAUUGGCCAGUCUGGGGUGAAAUCUCUCGGCUCAACCGAGAGCGGCCCUCAGAUACUACCAAUCUAGAGGUGUCUAGAGGUGAGUGGAAUUCAGGGUGUAGUGGUGGAAUGCGUAGAUAUCCUGAGGAACACCAGUGGCGAAGGCGACUCACUGGGGACAUACUGACGCUGAGGCGCGAAAGCGUGGGGAGCGAAC
Molecule: ribosomal RNA, 250 nt
Filed under: uncultured bacterium
Lineage: Bacteria
Description: partial 16S ribosomal RNA
Rfam family: Bacterial small subunit ribosomal RNA
Source: RNAcentral